GUGUGCAUGAUCUUGCCUGGUGGUGAGGGCAGGCUUCAAACCUGUGGGGGAGUGAUAUCCCAGUGGUUCGAUUCCACCUUGCGCACG
Molecule: transfer RNA, 87 nt
Filed under: Seminavis robusta
Lineage: Eukaryota; Bacillariophyta; Bacillariophyceae; Naviculales; Naviculaceae
Description: transfer RNA-SeC
Rfam family: Selenocysteine transfer RNA
Source: RNAcentral